RNAcentral lists this ribosomal RNA (181 nucleotides) under Streptococcus anginosus. Its description in RNAcentral is "partial 23S ribosomal RNA". It matches the Rfam family "Bacterial large subunit ribosomal RNA", at positions 177 to 361 of the family's 2925-position model. The record is from RNAcentral. Lineage: Bacteria; Bacillati; Bacillota; Bacilli; Lactobacillales; Streptococcaceae.
AGGAAGACGCAGUGAACGAAACAUCUAAGUAGCUGCAGGAAGAGAAAGCAAAAGCGAUUGCCUGAGUAGCGGCGAGCGAAAGGGCAAGAGGGCAAACCGAGAAGUUUACUUCUCGGGGUUGUAGGACUGCGAUGUGGACUUAAAGAUUAUAGAAGAAGACCUUGGGAAAGGUUGCCAGAGA